This 57-nucleotide transfer RNA is filed under the name Bos taurus (domestic cattle). It matches the Rfam family "tRNA", at positions 8 to 63 of the family's 71-position model. From Rfam's summary of the family: Transfer RNA (tRNA) molecules are approximately 80 nucleotides in length. Their secondary structure includes four short double-helical elements and three loops (D, anti-codon, and T loops). Further hydrogen bonds mediate the characteristic L-shaped molecular structure. tRNAs have two regions of fundamental functional importance: the anti-codon, which is responsible for specific mRNA codon recognition, and the 3' end, to which the tRNAs corresponding amino acid is attached (by aminoacyl-tRNA synthetases). tRNAs cope with the degeneracy of the genetic code in two manners: having more than one tRNA (with a specific anti-codon) for a particular amino acid; and 'wobble' base-pairing, i.e. permitting non-standard base-pairing at the 3rd anti-codon position. RNAcentral also lists the same sequence under 1 other name. Lineage: Eukaryota; Metazoa; Chordata; Mammalia; Artiodactyla; Bovidae. The record is from Rfam by way of RNAcentral.
UGGCUUAGAUGGUAAAGCAUCUGUCUACAGUGCAGGAGACCCGGGUUCGAUCCCUGG